CUCGCUCUCUGAAAAAGAAAAAGUCGAACGAAACAUGAAAUAAACAAUGAAGAACCACAAAAUAGCAAUAUUUUGAACUCACAAACUCGUUAUUGCAAAGCGUUCCUGGAUAAGGGAAUUAACUCUGCCUGGCUAAGAAUAGCGUCCACGCUACUCUCCCUUGUCUCUUUCGUGACAGGAAUUAUCUUUUUAUUUUUUUUUGUUUCAGUCGUUACUGCGGCCAGACUGGGGCACCACCUUGAGAGGAUCUAGUCGAAGAAAUCGACCCCGAUACGUCUUUUAAAGCCUGUCAUUGGAUUGCGGCCCAUGCUAGAGCACUGUCUCAGAGGUUUUAGCCAAACGAAUCAACACCAUUACUUAUGCCUUUUAAAAUCUGGUACUUAUUCUAUUGGUCUCUUUUGCUGAAACCAUUAGGUUAUGGGGAUGUAAACAAACUGACACUGGUUACCAAGCAGUGUGUGGUUUGACACACAUACAGGCAUGAAGACUCAAACAUAUAUACAUGAUGGGCUUCCUCACAGUUUCUGUCAACUGGAUUUACUCACAACCCAUUGAUCGACCUGGAAGGCAUUUGCCCAAGAUGCCCUGCAAUGGGACUGAACCUGAAGCCAUGGGGUUGGGAAGCAGGCUUCUAAACCACUGGAAUUUCUUUCAACAAACAGAAUGUUACACCUUUUUGUGCAUGACCCUAAUUAUGGACUGGGUAUAAGCUGAGUGAUCUUCAUGGAAAUAUUCUGUUGAAAUCUUUGGGAUUGGUGUAACGAUAGGCAGUAAUUUAUUUUCCUUUGAAAUUUCAAACUGCAUCCCAAAUAGGGAUCAUUAUAUGAACCCUCAUAAGGAUCCAUAUAAAGAUAAUUAAACAGAUCCUUAUACAGGCUCAUAUGAUGGGUUUUUCAGAUUCCUUGCCAUUUGUUUUCUGUCUUUUACAAUUUUUGCAGCAAUCAGUGAGUUUGAUUUAUCAACAUCAUUCACUUUUGUCAUUUGGAAUUAGGUGAGCAUAUCAACUAAUUUUCCAUCAUUAAAUUCAUGAUACAAAAAUCAUCCAAUACUUCCACAUCCUACUAAAAAGAUGAUAGUGUGUCCAACUUUAGGUUAUUCUUCUUCUUUCAGCUUCACUAUUCAGAAAUCCUCCAGACAAAAUGGUUUUGCAAUAUGCAUUCAAGAUAAUUUUUCUUGAUUCCACAAAUUGCAAUUACCUUCCCACAGUGCAGAAUUUUAAAUUUUUUUCCAUCCACGUUGCACCGUAAGUUAGUUGUUUUCUAUAUCAUCCAGUAUUUUAUAUGCAAAUUGUUGAACCAAUUUACCUAAAAUUCCAAAUUAUGCUCUCAUCUGACAGUUGAACCAGGUUAGUCAUAUCGAGUGGUAAAAACAAAACUUAAACAUUAAAGAGUUCUACAUUAGAGGGAUGGGAUUACUAGUUAUCCAUUAGAAACAAACAUUUUGUAGUCAAUAUUCUGUUUUUUUUUUAAAUAAAUUUCAGCUUCAGGAAUUAAGUUCUGAUAAAAUCAUUUUCAAAUAUUGUAAUAGUUAUCUAUGAUUUGCAGAAUGUUUAGAACCUUCUUCAGUUACUUUAGCAAACCAUGGCAGGAUUUCUCCAGCAGAAUCUCCAUGAGGUAUAUGUCCUCAGCCAUACAGCAGUUCAGAUAUACUUUAACUAAAAUGUAGGAUAACAUAACCAGCAUAAGCAGAGUGGUACACAUCGACAGAAAUACAUCGAGACUUGUAUGUCAGAUAGUAAAACAUUUUGAAAAUUAAGAUUUGCUUGAAUGAACAAGAGGCAACAACUGCAAACAAUGAAACAAACUUUGGUUGAUAAUUAUAUGAUAUUGGUAAGCAUGGCUGUGGCUAAGAAGCUCGCUUUGUAACCACGUGAUUUUGGGCUCAAUCCCAGUGCAAGGCACCUUGGAUGUGUUAUUCUACCAUAGCCCUGAGAUAACCAAUGCCUUAUGAGUGAAUUUGGCUGAUGGAAACUAUGUGGAAGCUCAUCAUAUAUGUAUGUCUGUUUAUGUUCACAUAACUUAGCAGUUUGGCAAUAUGAAACCGAUAGAAUAAGUAUCGGAUUUCAAAAAAAUAAAAUCAGGGGUUCAAGGUAGUGCCCCAGUAUGGCCGCAAUCAAAUGACUGGAGCAAGGCAAAAGCUACCAUUAUAAAACUUCAAAUUAUUUAAAAAAACAAACAUUAGAUGAAUGUUUUGGCCCUAUUGUGUUUGCUUCUCCUUUGAUUCAUUCAAGCAAAAUAUUUUACUGUUUGAUGUACAAGUUUUGAUAUUUUUCUGUCAGACUUAAGCAACAUGAAGACAAAAUCAGAGUUCCUAAGGGGAAAAAAAGAAAAAAAAAAGAACACUUUGCAAAGCAUGGGGAUGUAUAAGGGAUCACAACAACAAGGUAAUCGUGCAUUUCAAAUCAAUAAACAAUAAUCAACCAAAGCCAAAAACCAUGCUAACGUGAAACCAUAUAAAUGGAAUACCAUGUAAACCGAGGAACAAAGACAUGUAUGUUUGUAUACACAGAGAUGAGAUGGGGUGGGGUGGUGGGAAGGAGUGCUAAAAAAAUAAACAACAAAACCAUUCUCUAAUUUUCUUUUAAAAGAGAAAUUGGUUUGAUACAGCAGUUGGCAACUGGAUUAGUUACUUCAAUCUCUCAUGUUCUUCGGUUCAACUGACAUAGUCGAUAGGAUUAGUAAGUACCAGCAAUAUGUUGGAGUCAACUUCAUUAACCUUACCCUUUUGUUUUAAAAUGGAUCACAACAGUUUUGUCAAUCCAAAAUAACUGGAAUUUUCAGCGAGGUAGGAUUUCUACCCAAAUAAAAUGCUUUUAUAUUGUGUUUAGAGCAAUAUACAACAGUAUUUUAGUUAAACAUUCUUGGCAAUAUCUUAUAUAUAUAUAUUUUAUUUAAAAGCAGCAGAAAUAUAACAAAAAGCUGUUACUCGAACGGGAACAUGAAACUCUGAGUAACAGUUUUUUUUUGUUAUAUUUCUGCUGCUUUUAAAUAAAGCAUAUUACUCUACCUCUGGUAUUUGAGUACUCUUUUUUCCAUCUUGUACAUUUAUGUGCUUACUCUGGUAUAUAUAUAUAUAUAUAUAUACAUACAUAUAUAUAUAUAUAUAUACACACAUACACACACUGAUAUUGCUGAAUAAUGAGGUGCUAUUGUUAUUUAGUCCCAGAGCGUUACUGACUGACCUAUGAUCUAAGUAAUUCCAGCCAUGACCAUCCCAUUAUUUUUUCGAUGAGUAUAACUAGAACUACUCUAUUUAAUAUGUCCUAUUUUUUUUUAUGGUGGUAGGGUGAGAUCUGAGGGGAAUUUGGCUGUUAUAGAGUGGGAGGUGAUGUGUCUAGAUGUAACAAAGUUUAUUCCACUGAGUCGUGGACAGCAACAUUUCAGAGUAUUUCCCUUUAUAAGCAAAGGAAAGAAAAUACUAAGACGUACACAUUUCCAGAAUCUGAGAACCAAGAAACUCGGUCUUGUUUCCUGAAGAACUUCUAAGCUGUGACUUUCUCUUGAUCGAGUUUUCGUAUCAGUUCUGGAACUCCAGGACAAUAGAAUUAUCUUUACAUGUAUUUUUAGUUUAUAAUUUUAUAUUUCUUUUUUUAAUUGGAAUUUAAUCAAAUACACUUUUCUGCUUGAAUGUAUUUAAAAUUUAUAUGCGUUAUUUCUUUACGAUCGAUAUAAUUUAAUGUCAUUUGAUUGAUUAUGGCAUUUUUUAUUAUGUAAAUAAUAAAGCUAUAAUACAUCAUCAUUUAACUCUGUUUUCUAUGCUGGCAUGGAUUGGAAGAUAUUUAACAUUUUAAUGAACAUACUUUUACAAUUAUCCUCCCCACUAGCUCAAUGUUCUUAAAAUAAGACACACCUAGAGAACUUCUCUUCCCAUAAUUCAUUGCCACAUCAAUAACAACAAGAACAGCUUCGUAAUCAACAUAUCUAUGGGAUGGAAAGGUCGGCUGUUCUGUUGUACAACAAAUAUUCCUUUUACUAGUGGAGCCAUGUGGUUAUGGUAUUCAGCUCAUGACCAUAUCAUAAGGUCAUGAGAUUUGAUACCCAGCAGCUUGUUGUGUCCUUGAGCAAGACUCUUUAUUUCAUGUUGCUCCAGUCCACUCAGCUGGCAAAAAAGAGUUGUACCUCUAAUUGAAAGGCUCAGCCUUGUCACAUUUUGUGUCAUGCUGAAUCAGCCUGAGAACUACAUCAAGAGCACACAUGUCUGUGGAAUCCUCAGCCACUUUGAUGUUAAUUUCACAAGCAGUCAGGUUAGUUGAUCAGAGGAUACAGAAAUUUGCAUUAAGAGCAAACUUUAUCUUUUUUUUGUUUUGUUUUGCAGAGUAUGUAUGCAACCAUUAGAGUAUCAUUCUCUCAAAUUUCUUUGAUUAAUAAAAAUCAACCCAGAACAAGAGUGCAUACACAAGUGCAUAGUUGAGAGAGAAUCCUGACCAACCACAAGGGUACAGUUGAGAGGGAACACUGACCAAUCACAAAGCCUUUUUCCAAUGCUCUAAUGAUUCUGCCCACCCAGCAGCCUUGCCAAUCCACUGCCCUGCAAAAAUAAUAACCCUUUCCAUUACAGGCCUGAAAUCAUUUGGUAGAAGGGGGUCCAAGUCGAUUACAUUAACCCCAAAAUGAUGGAAGGCAAGGUCAACCUUAGCGGCAUUUG
Long non-coding RNA from Octopus bimaculoides (California two-spot octopus), 4644 nucleotides. The record is from RefSeq and is a predicted model, not a curated record. Lineage: Eukaryota; Metazoa; Mollusca; Cephalopoda; Octopoda; Octopodidae.